Long non-coding RNA from Astyanax mexicanus (Mexican tetra), 2469 nucleotides. RefSeq lists it as uncharacterized. The transcript is spliced from 3 exons. The record is from RefSeq and is a predicted model, not a curated record. NCBI's taxonomy places the organism in Eukaryota, Metazoa, Chordata, Actinopteri, Characiformes, Acestrorhamphidae.
ACAAAAGUUUACUUAUUUUACAAUAUCCAUCCCACUUUCAAAUACAUGUUUUCAUGAGCUCUUUAGUGAGUUAGUUUAGUGCUUUUCUGGCACUGACUUCGUAUUUACAGCCCACUAAACAUUAGACGUCUUAUGGACGUGCAGAUCAUGUCUAUAUUGCGUCGGUCGGUCCAAGACCAAUUCUGUACGUCUACACGACGUACAAACUAGGUCCACUAUUUGGACGUCUAACUAUGACCCCACUUGGACGUCAAUAUGCAGUUAAACAUUUGAACGUCGGACUAGGUCACUUUUUGGACGUCAUGGGGACGUCUAAUACAGGUGCAGGAAAUUAAGGUUAUUUAAGAAUAUAUUUAUUUUUAAAUGUAUGUCAACAUUGUUGUUAUCAAUAUUGUUAAUCACUAUGAAUAUAGAUUAUUUAUGAUUAAGCAUCAUUUAUUUCUAAUUAUUUAUUUGAGUAUUAUAUUUUUUAUCUAUUUAAUUAAUUAACGAAUGUAGGUAUUUAUUUACGUAUGUUUUUAUUUUUAUUUGGAAAUGCAAUUUAUGUGGAAAAUUGUUAAGUUGAUUUCAACCAGUCAAUGCCACUCUGAUUUGCUGAGACCGCACGUCAUCAUAAACUCCACUCUGAUAUGCCGAGGCAAAACACGCUCAACAUUUUUUGGCUGCUGCAGUAGCUCAGCUCAACUCAGCUCGUUCAGUUCAGCUCGCUCAGCUCAGCUCCGCUCCGGACUCAGCUGCCACUAAGCUAUAAGGUAAGACGAUAUGUAUAAGUUAAUGUAUUUGUAGUGUUAGUUGUUUUAGCUCUGUGGUCUUAAAUCAUCUGAACCUGCUGGCGUUGCCUCUCUUCCCAGGCAGUUAGCUAACUAGCUAGCUAGCUAACGAUAGCUAAAAAGUGGCCAUAGUUAAAAUGGAAUUGGAAUUACUUAUUGCCAAUAAUAUUUACUGUAACUGAAGCUUUAACGUAGAAGCAUUGUCCUGGCAUUAAGUCAAUGCACUAACCAGAGCUAGGCUGAUAAGCCAAUCUAAGCUAAAUCAAAGAACCGUCUUUGGCUAAAUUCGCUAAGCUAGCGUUAAGUUAUAUAAGUUUGUGGCGCCCACAAUUAACCUAGGCAACUGGGAGCAAUAUCAAGUGCUUUUUGAAUAGCGUGAAGAAGUAAGUUUAUGUUAAUAUUACAUAAAUAAGGCAAUUUAAAAUAGUUUGUUGUGGGAAAACAUUUAUUAAAAUAGCUUAAUAUCAUGUGUGAGAAUUAAAACGGCACGAUAAUUCUCGUCAGGUGUUAAAUGUGUAUUCCCGCCGUUAGCUUAGCGUUAGCUAAGCCAUAGUGUGAAGAAGUAAGUUUAUGUUAAUAUUACAUAAAUAAGGCAAUUUAAAAUAGUUUGUUGUGGGAAAAAAAUAUUAAAAUAGCUUAAUAUGAUGUGUGAGAAUUAAAACGGCAGGAUAAUUCUCGUCAGGUGUUAAAUGUGUAUUCCCGCCGUUAGCUUAGCGUUAGCUAGCUUAGCUGAGAUUUCUAAUUUGUCUUUUUCUACUUGUGCAGAUGGAGUCAUGAAAUGUGACGGGACAGCCACCGAGGACUUCAUACGGAUGUGUACUUCGGAGCAUCUCAAACAUGCACCACAAAGACGUGGAGGACACACCGCUGUCUCUCAGGACCUAGAAUCUUAAUGAAAGUAUAAUGAUGUUAAGGGAAGGUGUAAUGGAAAGGUGUAAUGUAAAGUUGUAAUGGUGUUAAGGGAAGGUGUAGUGGAAAGGUGUGAUAGUGUUGAGGGAAGGUGUAAUAGUGUUGAGGGAAGGGGUAAUGUUAAAGGUGUAAUAGUGUUAAGGGAAGGUAUAAUAUUGUUAAGGGAAGGUGUAAUGUUAAAGGUGUAAUAGUGUUGAUGGAAGGUAUAAUAUUGUUAAGGGAAGGUGUAAUCUUAAAGGUGUAAUAGUGUUGAGGGAAGGUGUAAUGUUAAAGGUGUAAUAGUGUUGAGGGAAGGUGUAAUGUAAAGGUGUAAUAGUGUUGAGGGAAGGUAUAAUGUAAAGGUGUAAUAGUGUUGAGGGAAGGUAUAAUAUUGUUAAGGGAAGGUGUAAUGUUAAAGGUGUAAUAGUGUUGAGGGAAGGUGUAAUGUAAAGGUGUAAUAUUGUUAAGGGAAGGUAUAAUAUUGUUAAGGGAAGGUGUAAUCUUAAAGGUGUAAUAGUGUUAAGGGAAGGUAUAAUAUUGUUAAGGGAAGGUGUAAUCUUAAAGGUGUAAUAGUUUUGAGGGAAGGUGUAUUGUUAAAGGUGUAAUAGUGUUGAGGGAAGGUGUAAUAGUGUUGAGGGAAGGUGUAAUGUUAAAGGUGUAAUAGUGUUGAGGGAAGGUAUAAUAUUGUUAAGGGAAGGUGUAAUGUAAAGCUGUAAUAGUUUUAAGGGAAGGUAAAUGUUUAGUGAAAUUGUUAUGGUGUGAAUCUAAGGUGUAUGUUAUGUUGAUGUAAAAUAAAGGCAUUAACCCCAAA